Molecule: ribosomal RNA, 1202 nt
Filed under: metagenome
Description: bacterial SSU rRNA
Rfam family: Bacterial small subunit ribosomal RNA
Source: RNAcentral
AGAGUUUGAUCCUGGCUCAGGAUGAACGCUAGCUACAGGCUUAACACAUGCAAGUCGAGGGGAAACGAUAUUGGAAGCUUGCUUCCGAUAGGCGUCGACCGGCGCACGGGUGAGUAACGCGUAUCCAACCUGCCCAUCACUUGGGAAUAACCUUGCGAAAGUAAGACUAAUGCCCAAUGACAUUUAUGGAAGGCAUCGGAAAUGAAUUAAAGAUUUAUCGGUGAUGGAUGGGGAUGCGUCUGAUUAGCUUGUUGGCGGGGUAACGGCCCACCAAGGCGACGAUCAGUAGGGGUUCUGAGAGGAAGGUCCCCCACAUUGGAACUGAGACACGGUCCAAACUCCUACGGGAGGCAGCAGUGAGGAAUAUUGGUCAAUGGGCGAGAGCCUGAACCAGCCAAGUAGCGUGCAGGAUGACGGCCCUAUGGGUUGUAAACUGCUUUUAUAGGGGAAUAAAGUGAGCCACGUGUGGUUUUUUGCAUAUACCCUAUGAAUAAGGACCGGCUAAUUCCGUGCCAGCAGCCGCGGUAAUACGGAAGGUCCGGGCGUUAUCCGGAUUUAUUGGGUUUAAAGGGAGCGUAGGCCGGAGAUUAAGCGUGUUGUGAAAUGUAGAUGCUCAACAUCUGCACUGCAGCGCGAACUGGUUUCCUUGAGUACGCAUAAAGUGGGCGGAAUUCGUGGUGUAGCGGUGAAAUGCUUAGAUAUCACGAAGAACUCCGAUUGCGAAGGCAGCUCACUGGGGCGCAACUGACGCUGAAGCUCGAAAGCGCGGGUAUCGAACAGGAUUAGAUACCCUGGUAGUCCGCGCGGUAAACGAUGGAUGCCCGCUGUUGGGCCAACUGGUUCAGCGGCCAAGCGAAAGCAUUAAGCAUCCCACCUGGGGAGUACGCCGGCAACGGUGAAACUCAAAGGAAUUGACGGGGGCCCGCACAAGCGGAGGAACAUGUGGUUUAAUUCGAUGAUACGCGAGGAACCUUACCCGGGCUUGAAUUGCAGAGGAAGGAUUUGGAGACAAUGACGCCCUUCGGGGCCUCUGUGAAGGUGCUGCAUGGUUGUCGUCAGCUCGUGCCGUGAGGUGUCGGCUUAAGUGCCAUAACGAGCGCAACCCCUCUCCAUAGUUGCCAUCAGGUGAAGCUGGGCACUCUGUGGACACUGCCACCGUAAGGUGCGAGGAAGGUGGGGAUGACGUCAAAUCAGCACGGCCC